CAGUAGCCGCGGUAAUACGUAGGUGUCAAGCGUUGUCCGGAAUUAUUGGGCGUAAAGGGCUCGCAGGCGGUUUCUUAAGUCUGAUGUGAAAGCCCCCGGCUCAACCGGGGAGGGUCAUUGGAAACUGGGAAACUUGAGUGCAGAAGAGGAGAGUGGAAUUCCACGUGUAGCGGUGAAAUGCGUGGAGAUGUGGAGGAACACCAGUGGCGAAGGCGACUCUCUGGUCUGUAACUGACGCUGAGGAGCGAAAGCGUGGGGAGCGAACAGGAUUAGAUACCCCAGUAGUCCCUGUCUCUUAUAA
RNAcentral lists this ribosomal RNA (301 nucleotides) under uncultured bacterium. RNAcentral's name for it is "partial 16S ribosomal RNA". It matches the Rfam family "Bacterial small subunit ribosomal RNA", at positions 509 to 809 of the family's 1533-position model. The record is from RNAcentral.